UACGUAGGGUGCGAGCGUUGUCCGGAAUUAUUGGGCGUAAAGGGCUCGUAGGCGGUUUGUCGCGUCGGGAGUGAAAACUCAGGGCUUAACCCUGAGCCUGCUUCCGAUACGGGCAGACUAGAGGUAUGCAGGGGAGAAUGGAAUUCCUGGUGUAGCGGUGAAAUGCGCAGAUAUCAGGAGGAACACCGGUGGCGAAGGCGGUUCUCUGGGCAUUACCUGACGCUGAGGAGCGAAAGCAUGGGGAGCGAACAGG
This 253-nucleotide ribosomal RNA is filed under the name uncultured bacterium. Its description in RNAcentral is "partial 16S ribosomal RNA". It matches the Rfam family "Bacterial small subunit ribosomal RNA", at positions 524 to 776 of the family's 1533-position model. The record is from RNAcentral.